This 484-nucleotide ribosomal RNA is filed under the name uncultured bacterium. RNAcentral's name for it is "partial 16S ribosomal RNA". It matches the Rfam family "Bacterial small subunit ribosomal RNA", at positions 30 to 507 of the family's 1533-position model. The record is from RNAcentral.
AUUGAACGCUGGCGGCAGGCCUAACACAUGCAAGUCGAGCGGAUGAAGGGAGCUUGCUCCUUGAUUCAGCGGCCGACGGUUGUGUAAUGCCUAGGAAUCUGCCUCGUAUUGGGGGAUAACGUCCUUAAACGGGCGCUAAUACCGCAUACAUCCUUAGGGAGAAAUUGGUGGAUCUUCUGACCUCACUCUAUCAGAUGAGCCUAGGUCGGAUUUGCUAGUUGGUGGGGUAAAGUCCUACCAAGGCGACUAUCCGUAACUGGUCUGAGAGGAUGAUCAGUCAGACGGGAAGAGAGACAGGGAACAGACACCUACGGGAGGAAGCAGUGGGGAAUAUUGGAGAAGGGGGGAAAGGAGGAUACAGCAAAGCGGAGUGUGAGAAGAAGGACUUAGGAUUGGAAAGAAAAGUAAGUUGGGAGGAAGGGAAGUAAGUUAAUAAGUUGAUGUUAUGACGUUACCAAAAGAAUAAGCACCGGCUAACUACGUG